GCCGAAGUGGCGGAAUCGGCAGACGCACACGACUCAAAAUCGUGCGGGCUUAGCCCAUGGGGGUUCGACUCCCCCCUUCGGCACCA
RNAcentral lists this transfer RNA (86 nucleotides) under Bacillota bacterium. RNAcentral describes it as "Firmicutes bacterium (anaerobic digester metagenome) tRNA-Leu". It matches the Rfam family "tRNA". Rfam says of the family: Transfer RNA (tRNA) molecules are approximately 80 nucleotides in length. Their secondary structure includes four short double-helical elements and three loops (D, anti-codon, and T loops). Further hydrogen bonds mediate the characteristic L-shaped molecular structure. tRNAs have two regions of fundamental functional importance: the anti-codon, which is responsible for specific mRNA codon recognition, and the 3' end, to which the tRNAs corresponding amino acid is attached (by aminoacyl-tRNA synthetases). tRNAs cope with the degeneracy of the genetic code in two manners: having more than one tRNA (with a specific anti-codon) for a particular amino acid; and 'wobble' base-pairing, i.e. permitting non-standard base-pairing at the 3rd anti-codon position. The record is from RNAcentral. Lineage: Bacteria; Bacillati; Bacillota. RNAcentral also lists the same sequence under 1 other name.